CCUACGGGUGGCAGCAGUGAGGAAUAUUGGUCAAUGGGCGAGAGCCUGAACCAGCCAAGUCGCGUGAAGGAUGACUGCUCUAUGGUUUGUAAACUUCUUUUGUAUGGGAGUAAAGUGAGGAACGUGUUCCUUUUUGUCUGUACCAUAUGAAUAAGCAUCGGCUAACUCCGUGCCAGCAGCCGCGGUAAUUCGGAGGAUGCGAGCGUUAUCCGGAUUUAUUGGGUUUAAAGGGUGCGUAGGGGGGUAUUUAAGGUAGGUGUGAAAGUUUGUGGCUGAAACGUAACUGUGCCAUUGAAACUGUAGAGCUAGAGAACAGUUGAGGUAGGCGGAAUGAGUUGAGUAGCGGUGAAAUGCAUAGAUAUCACGUAGAACACCGAUAGCGAAGGCAGCUUACUAAACUGAGUCUGACACUGAUGCACGAGAGCGUGGGUAGCAAACAGGAUUAGAUACCCUAGUAGUC
RNAcentral lists this ribosomal RNA (460 nucleotides) under uncultured bacterium. RNAcentral's name for it is "partial 16S ribosomal RNA". It matches the Rfam family "Bacterial small subunit ribosomal RNA", at positions 338 to 795 of the family's 1533-position model. The record is from RNAcentral.